RNAcentral lists this long non-coding RNA (712 nucleotides) under Zostera marina. RNAcentral describes it as "long non-coding RNA (ZMAR_LNC000742)". The record is from RNAcentral. Lineage: Eukaryota; Viridiplantae; Streptophyta; Magnoliopsida; Alismatales; Zosteraceae.
UAAUCUUACGUGUGUACGACAGUUUUAUCCGAUUCCCGACGCCAUAACUCCCACCGGACCAUCCGGUGUUCACCAGCCAUCCGGUAGCACCGUGUCUCUCCAUUUUCUCCGCCAGCAUCGCCGCGUAUCGAGUGGGAUGCAGCAUUAUAAAAGCCGCCCCGAAACAAGCUGAAAACGUCGCCUGUGGCUCUUUGAUCCCAUCUUCUGUUCCGGCGACCAACGCGGUGUAGCCUGAUAUGAAGUGGUACAUCGUCUGCGGCAUGGUCAGCUUCGACACCGGUGGCAGCACCCCGAAGGCGUCGCAGGCGAGGAGGAUUAUGUUGUUCGGGUGUGGGCCGAUGCAAGGUAGCUUCGCGUUUGGGAUGUAGUGUAUAGGAUAAGCUGCACGUGUAUUCUCGGUAACGGAGCUAUCGGCGAAAUCGACUUCUCGGGUGUGCUCGUCGAAGACGACGUUCUCCAGCACCGUCCCGAACUUGAUCGCGUUCCAGAUGUCGGGUUCUUUCUCUUGGGAGAGUUGGAUACAUUUCGCGUAGCAACCGCCUUCUAUGUUCGAUAUUCCGGUCUCGCUCCAGCAGUGCUCGUCGUCUCCGAUCAGAAGUCUGUUGUGAUCGGUGGAGAGUGUUGUCUUUCCGGUACCGGAGAGUCCGAAGAAAAGCGCGACGUCAGUAGGAGCACCAGAUUCGCUCCGACCCAUGUUCGAUCCGGAGUGAAG